RNA transcript from Tachysurus vachellii, 2081 nucleotides. It is a transcript of the gene named CCAAT/enhancer binding protein (C/EBP) 1, with no coding region annotated. The record is from RefSeq and is a predicted model, not a curated record. The transcript is spliced from 5 exons. Lineage: Eukaryota; Metazoa; Chordata; Actinopteri; Siluriformes; Bagridae.
CUCUCACACACGCAGCGUGCGCAGAGCUCAGGCACCGCUUCUCUCCUGUGUUCUCCUAGUGACUGUAGAUAUAAAGGAGACUCUCAAUACAUGUAACUAUCAACGCCACACUAUCGAUCCAAUGAUUCCAAAAGUAUUGGCCCCCUGGUGGCGGCACUCGCCACCACGUGACAUCACGUGUAGCCCCGCCCCCAAAACAAGCAAAAUCAAAGAUUUUGCACAACAUGGACAUGUCAUAUAUCAAAACACUCAGCACGAUGAGGGGAACUGACGUCACGUGUAGCCCCGCUCCCAAAAUGAGCGAAAUCAAAAAUUUUGCACAACAUGGGAAUGUGACAUAUCAAAACACUCAGCACGAUGAGGGGAACUUGCAAUGUGCAAGCACAUUCACAUUUUCUUCAGGAAAUGUCCGUUCUAGUUGUUAUUAUUAUUAUUUUAUGGGAAAUAUAUAGUUAAAUAAUUUACAUUCAUCCCCCAAAGUCACAGAAAAGCCAAUAUGUGAUGCAAAGAGAAAGAGAGAGACAAAGAAGGGGGUUGUGACAGAGGAAAUGAUGGUGUCAUGAUCUCUUAAGUACCUGUAUCAUAACGGAUUUUGUGGACAGACCAGAGCAGUUUGGUGCAAGAUUGUGGAACAAAGUGUGUACUGAAGAAGGCAAAUUAAAGAUGUCAGUCUCACAUAGUCGUUCUACAGCUCACAUCUUCUCGUCCAAUAAUCAUUCAUGCUCCUCACUGGUCAACACCAUGGCUUUGGCUACCGACUCCACCACUUCGACAUCCAGUAACCUAACCGCUCACAUUCCACAGAUGGAAGGAGGACCAUACAGCUAUUCGAUGGGGUCUCAGGGACUCUCCAGGACAAAUGAUAGGAGCAGUGAGCAGAUGAUGGGCAUGGCGUAUUUGCCCUAUUCGACAUGCUCAAACUCAACAGUGGAAAGACCAGCACAACACAGCCACAUUAUACAACAGGAGUUUUCUCAGUUCCUGCUUCCUGCACCUCCAUCCACAUUUCGACAGCCAGGUCAGAAGAGAGGUCUGAAUAAGGACAGCAUGGAAUACCGGAUGAGACGUGAGCGCAACAACAUCGCUGUGAGGAAGAGCCGGGAUAAAGCACGUCGGCGUAUCCAGCUCACUCAGCAAAAGGCCUUGGAACUUCAGGAGGAAAAUCAAAGGCUGCUAAUUCACAUCGAACAGCUUACCCAUGAAGUGGAAAUGCUCAGUCGCCAUCUCUCUCAGCGCCACAUACAGAGCAAAGUCAGUGACAUAGGAGUUGAAGAGCACUGUUGAGUGACCUUAGAAACUCACUUACCUUAGUUAUCAGCCUCUUGCUAACUGACACAAUGACACAGGAUUUUGCGUGGGGAAGAGCAGAGGCCCAGCUCUGGUGGGACGGGUAUGAUUUCAUCAUUGUGUGGGACACAGAACUGGAGAUAUCAUCAACAAGCAUGGCUUUAUGAGCCUUCCUGUGGCUGCCACUGCAGUCAGAGGACACACAGAUAGCGAGUGGGAAGUGGACAUGCAUUAGGUUUCUACCCCAAGCUAAAGCUAAGCCAUGAGAGCAGAUGUCUGGAGCUGAUAACACCAAACUGACAGGUUGUUAGAGCCAUGAGGGAAAACAGUGAAAGAGCAGGGGGAGAAGAUUGGAUAGGAGUGGAAAAUCUUCAGAGAACUUACAAAUAUACCUGAAUAUAUGGUGAAAGAACUUUGUGCUCAAAAGUUUGUUGCACCAGUCUCUAUGGGGCAAUAUGUGGUUCAAGGCCUGAAAUACGGCCACACGAUUAGGAAAGACAGUAUUUCAGCUCAGUCUCAGCACCUCAAAGCCCAGUGUUACUCAACACCAAAUGACCAAUGACUUGCAAUUACUUAAAGGCCAGUAAAUCUAGAGGGAACUUCAGUAUUUCUUUGUAAUGGUGAUUAAGAUAAAUGUGAUUCUACAAACCACUAGAACGGAAAAAUAUGAGUGAUUAACAGAGAGUGAGAAAGUACCUUGAAGAGGAGAUGAACACGAAUGUGAAGGAGAGUUUAAGUAGUGGCACAAAUACUCCCUAAUAACAUACUUUUCACAUGAUCAAAGUUUUCUUUAA